CAAAAUAUGUAAUUGUUUAUUUUCAGAGAUUUUAAGUAGUAUAGAUCAUGAUGUAGAUUUUUAGUAUGGACAUCAUUUUUUAAAUUUUGGACUUGAAAGGACUAGUCCAUCUCUCUCUAUGAAAAUCCAAAACAAGCAGCCCUCGUUGUAGCUCACUGAAUUCCACCAAAUUGACACCGCAUAAAAGGGGAGGAGAGCGUGCAGGACCAAGGGGAUGCCAUUGGGGAAGGACCACUGCAAUAAACAAUUCCAGCACACGCCUACCACCCGAAAGCGCCGUCCGGCCAGCACGCCCGCAUCCUCUGGUGCGACUCACUCAAAGGUCCUACUAGCUUUUUAUCAUCCGGUGCCUCAGUGUCUUUCUCUCUCAGACGCAUAUCCACAAACAGCCCUACUGCAUGCAUUCUGUAUGACCUCGUUUAUAAUGUAUGGGGAGCAGCAGAGCCACAUGGUGGCGGGCCUCUUCUUCAACCCGAUGGGAGCUUGGCCAAAGCAGUCCAUCACCAUUUCAUCCGCACGGGAACUUGCAACUACGGAGAUGCAUGUAAAUAUUUUCAUCCAAAGCAGGAUGUCGCAAAUCCAACUCCAGCAGUCUCUGAUGAGUUGCUGACGACAGACAUAUCAUCCUUGUUGUUGUUUGAGUGUAUGCAUCAUCUACUGAAUAUUCAUUGAAGUGGUUGACAUUAUUAAUUGCUGUAGGAAAAAAAAUAGGACUUUUAUGGUGUGGUUGUGCUUCUGAUAAUAGUUUAAACAAACAUGUUUAGUUCCAUCAAAGCCAUACUUGUGGUAGAAAAAACAACCAUACCUGAUAUUUACUCUUCACAACAUUUCA
Non-coding RNA from Elaeis guineensis (African oil palm), 832 nucleotides. The record is from RefSeq and is a predicted model, not a curated record. Lineage: Eukaryota; Viridiplantae; Streptophyta; Magnoliopsida; Arecales; Arecaceae.